GUCCUAGCCGUAAACGUUGGGUGCUAGGUGUUGGGGGACAUUGACCCCCUCCGUGCCGAAGCUAACGCAUUAAGCACCCCGCCUGGGGAGUACGGCCGCAAGGCUAAAACUCAAAGGAAUUGACGGGGCCCCGCACAAGCGGCGGAGCAUGUUGCUUAAUUCGAUGCGACGCGAAGAACCUUACCUGGGCUUGACAUGCAGGGUGAAACCCGUGAAAGCGGGCGCUCUUCGGAGCCUGCACAGGUGGUGCAUGGCUGUCGU
Molecule: ribosomal RNA, 261 nt
Filed under: uncultured bacterium
Lineage: Bacteria
Description: partial 16S ribosomal RNA
Rfam family: Bacterial small subunit ribosomal RNA
Source: RNAcentral